This is a long non-coding RNA of Corvus hawaiiensis (hawaiian crow), 643 nucleotides long. RefSeq lists it as uncharacterized. The transcript has 2 exons. The record is from RefSeq and is a predicted model, not a curated record. NCBI's taxonomy places the organism in Eukaryota, Metazoa, Chordata, Aves, Passeriformes, Corvidae.
GUUUCUGUGAGGAGAAUUUGACAGUGGCUUCUUCUGUCACCUUACCUGACUCAGCCAUCGCUAUGAUUCUUCAUUACAUUUCCUUCUAUUUCAGGGAUUACUUGUGUCAUCUCCAUCCAGGUUCCUGGGAGUUUGGCCAGCUUGUUGUUGCAUCACAGUGGAUGUUCUACUGCCUGUCCCUGAGUUCAAUUGCUGCUUCUGAUCUGUCCCUCAUGCUGAGUUUCCCAGCCUACUUAAGUUUGAAGUUUCUACUCUGCCUCCUCCUCAUAUAAGUACCGAGUCAACAACACAGUAAUUACUUUAAUGACCUAGGCAAUAACCAAGUAAGAACCAUUUAUUUAGAUGAUGAUAGAAACUUCCUAAGUAAACAGAUUAAUAAGUGCUUAGGAAAAAAGGAAGAUCUAUGGGGAUAGAUACAGUGAGUGCAUUUAUUAUACAUACACUAUUAUAUUUGCCACAAAUUUCAAUAUAAAAUUUAAAAUUGCUUUGCAGAAUUACAAACGAUGUCAAACUCUCUGAAUCUAACGUAUCAGGACACAUAAUUUUAUAAUAAUAUUGUAAACCAAGAAUACAUUUCUUUGUAAAACAAGUGAUUAAUUAUGAAUGCUAAUUUUGUUUGAAUAAACACGAAUGCACUAAGCCA